Molecule: ribosomal RNA, 253 nt
Filed under: uncultured bacterium
Lineage: Bacteria
Description: partial 16S ribosomal RNA
Rfam family: Bacterial small subunit ribosomal RNA
Source: RNAcentral
UACGUAGGGGGCUAGCGUUGUCCGGAAUCAUUGGGCGUAAAGCGCGUGUAGGCGGUCCGGUAAGUCCGCUGUGAAAGUCGAGGGCUCAACCCUCGAAUGCCGGUGGAUACUGUCGGGCUAGAGUGCGGAAGAGGCGAGUGGAAUUCCUGGUGUAGCGGUGAAAUGCGCAGAUAUCAGGAGGAACAGCUAUUGCGAAGGCAGCUCGCUGGGACGUUACUGACGCUGAGACGCGAAAGCGUGGGGAGCAAACAGG